Molecule: ribosomal RNA, 460 nt
Filed under: uncultured bacterium
Lineage: Bacteria
Description: partial 16S ribosomal RNA
Rfam family: Bacterial small subunit ribosomal RNA
Source: RNAcentral
CCUACGGGUGGCAGCAGUGAGGAAUAUUGGUCAAUGGACGAGAGUCUGAACCAGCCAAGUAGCGUGAAGGAUGACUGCCCUAUGGGUUGUAAACUUCUUUUAUAAAGGAAUAAAACGAGGCACGUGUGCCUUUUUGCAUGUACUUUAUGAAUAAGGAUCGGCUAACUCCGUGCCAGCAGCCGCGGUAAUACGGAGGCUCCGAGCGUUAUCCGGAUUUAUUGGGUUGAAAGGGAGCGUAGAUGGGUUGUUGAGUCAGUUGUGAAAGUUUGCGGCUCAACCGUAAAAUUGCAAUUGAUACUGGCAGUCGUGAGUACAGUUGAGGUAGGCGGAAUUCGUGGUGUAGCAGUGAAAUGCUUAGAUAUCACGAAGAACCCUGAUUGCGAAGGCAGCUUACUAAACUGUGACUGACAUUGAUGCUCGAAAGUGUGGGUAUCAAACAGGAUUAGAUACCCCUGUAGUC